RNAcentral lists this ribosomal RNA (460 nucleotides) under uncultured bacterium. Its description in RNAcentral is "partial 16S ribosomal RNA". It matches the Rfam family "Bacterial small subunit ribosomal RNA", at positions 338 to 795 of the family's 1533-position model. The record is from RNAcentral.
CCUACGGGUGGCUGCAGUGAGGAAUAUUGGUCAAUGGACGCGAGUCUGAACCAGCCAAGUAGCGUGCAGGAUGACGGCCCUAUGGGUUGUAAACUUCUUUUAUAAAGGGAUAAAACGAGGCACGUGUGCCUUUUUGCAUGUACCGUAUGAAUAAGGACCGGCUAAAUCCGUGCCAGCAGCCGCGGUAAUACGGAGGAUCCGGGCGUUAUCCGGAUUUAUUGGGUUUAAAGGGAGCGUAGGCGGGCUAUUAAGGUUGUUGUGAAAGGUUGCGGCUCAACCGUAGAACUGCAGUGGGUACUGGGAGGCUUGAGUGCAGUUGAGGUAGGCGGAAUUCGUGGUGUAGCGGUGAAAUGCUUAGAUAUCACGAAGAACCCCGAUUGCGAAGGCAGCUUACUGAAGUGUGACUGACAUUGAGGCUCGAAAGUGUGGGUAUCGAACAGGAUUAGAUACCCUUGUAGUC